AUUUUAUGAAAUUACAUUCUUCCAAAUAUCCCAACCUAUCGUCACAUUAAUCGUCAGUCAUUGUUUAUUAAAGUGUUCAACUUUUGUGUUAAUGUGACGAUAGGUUGGAUUAGGUUAGUUUUGAGAGGGGGUCCGAAAAGCGUAGUCCUCCGCUAGUCGUUCGAUAUUGUAGUUAUUAUUCGAUAUUGCUCGUUAACGGUACAGUAUCGAAAAAUUGUAAUAUAUUUUUCGAACUUUUUUCAUCAAUAACUUUUUAACAAACAAUGAGCGACGGCUAAAACCUUCUGAAAGUUACUCAGGAGGGUGACCUCUAACAUAUAUAUGAAGGUCAAGGUCAUAGCUGCUGGGUCCGUUAUUCUAAAAAUUUACCAAUUGUUCUUUUUUGGUGAAUGAUGAGUUGAAUGGCAAUGCUUCUAGCACGUAAAUAUUUUAAUGUUGAAUGCAAAAAGUUUGAAUCAAUUUAAACAUUUUAUCGUAUAUUUUAUAUUUUCUUAGUGAAAUUAUUAAUACUAGCAUAUCAUAAACUAAAAUAUUAUAAUUUAUUUUGUUAUAAUUAAUGACAAGCUUGAUUUUCUCUUUCAUUUUAUUUAAAAUUUUCUAUUACUUAACUAUAAUAUUUGCUAUAAAUCUUUCACUUUCUAUGACUUAAAAAUUCUUCAACUUUUUAAUGUUGCUAAUAUGUGGAUGCUAUUAUUUAUUAAAAGUUCUUUGCUUCAUCAGGAUUCUCAUUUUAUACAGUUAGCAGAAGAUAUUGUCGAAUAUUUUCCAGCUGAAACAAAGGAAGUAUACUAUAUUUCAUACAAGUCGAUUAAAAUUAAUAACAAGGUUUUCAAAAAGAUUGCUCCAAAAUUAUAUAAUCAGUAUACAAAUUUAAUGAAAGGACUGUUGAGAGGAGGACUACGAGAAAACUCCAAAAUCAAAAGUUAUAACAUACAAAAUUCUAUUUCUGCAUCAGAUAGUAAGUUCACACUUUUGACGAUUUCAGGUUUUAAUCUUUGUUAAAAUGUUAAUUUUUAAAUACCGCAAGCCAUAUGUUUUCUAUUUUGUGUUCCUGGUUCAUGUCAUAUUUGAUUAUUUCAUAAGAGAUUUCUUUAGCGUCUUAUUUUUUAGAGUUUCCUUUUCUUAAACAACCAGGAGUUGCUUUAGUAAGUACUAAUUAUUGCGCUUUUCAUUUCAUUGUUUUAUUUUUAAUUUACCACUCUGUUGCAGGUUUUUAGUUCUGUUGAGCUAGAUUUUAAUGCUUUCUAUCCGAGGAAAACUAAAUCACUUUUUAUUGAAUGGGAAUUUUUCUCUCAGCGUUUAAGAUCUAUUACUGGAAUAUAAGAAAAUAAGAGUAAUUUCAAAAUUUCUGUUAGUCAUUUUUGUAUGAUUUCAUUUUGUACCAAAUGAUCAAGCUUCUUUAAAGUGGUUCUUAAAAAGAGUAGAGCUAUGCAACAAGGUCCUCUUGAAUGGAAAGCCACAUAUCGAUUGCGUAUACAUAAUUUGCAAAACAGCUCAAAUGAAGAAACAUUUUUUAAAAAUUAGAGCUUUUUAGCUCUGUUAAGCUAGAUUUUGAUGCUUUCUAUCCGAGCAAAACUAAAUCACUUUUUACUGAAUGGGAAUUUUUCUCUCAUCGUUUAAGAUUUAUUACUGGAAUAGAAGAAAAUAAGUCUCUCAGUGAUGCUGAGAUAUGUGCUCUUAAGUUUUGUUUUUAAUGCAAUUGGUUAUAACAAUGUUCAUAUAACUAAAGGAUGGAGAGUAAACAAACAAAAAAUGCUACACAGCUUCAUAUGUCACGUAAAGACUACUGAUGCUAAAGAAGAUGAAGUGAAUAUUAUUGAAACCAAGGCUGCAAAAGAAAAAAAUACUGUACAACCAUUUGUAAUUCUUGUUGGAAACGAUCUGCAUCACAUUACAGAUAAAAUGUUUUCUUACGUAAAUAUGUUUUACUUUACUAUAUACGAUUUCUUUGCAUUGUUUGCUAUUUUGCUUAUUUUAAUUUUAAUCUGUUUUUUGUCCAGAUAGUACAAAGAAUUCGAAAAAUUUUUAAACUGUUGACUAUAAACUUUAUUUUUUAUAAAAACCUUGUAAAAUUUCUUAUCUUUUGUAUACACAAACUAUUUUUCUUCUGAAAUAAAAUAUUUUAAAAUACACAAGUUUUGUUUUCGACCAA
RNA transcript from Odontomachus brunneus, 2152 nucleotides. RefSeq lists it as uncharacterized. The record is from RefSeq and is a predicted model, not a curated record. Lineage: Eukaryota; Metazoa; Arthropoda; Insecta; Hymenoptera; Formicidae. The transcript has 5 exons.